AUUUUCAAAGGAUAGCAGCAAUCCAAUGGUUUUAGGAACCAUCACUUCUUGGUGCAACUCCAAGUGAAAAUA
This 72-nucleotide transfer RNA is filed under the name Amyda cartilaginea (black-rayed soft-shelled turtle). Its description in RNAcentral is "tRNA-Leu". The record is from RNAcentral. Lineage: Eukaryota; Metazoa; Chordata; Testudines; Trionychidae.